UGGAGAAAAGCAGGGGAUCGUAAGACCUUGCGCUUUUGGAGUGGCCGAUGCCUGAUUAGCUAGUUGGUGGGGUAAGGGCCUACCAAGGCAACGAUCAGUAGUUGGUCUGAGAGGACGACCAGCCACACUGGGACUGAGACACGGCCCAGACUCCUACGGGAGGCAGCAGUGGGGAAUUUUGGACAAUGGGCGAAAGCCUGAUCCAGCAAUGCCGCGUGAGUGAAGAAGGCCUUCGGGUUGUAAAGCUCUUUCAGUCGAGAAGAAAAGGUUGUGACUAAUAAUCACAACUUAUGACGGUACCGACAGAAGAAGCACCGGCUAACUACGUGCCAGCAGCCGCGGUAAUACGUAGGGUGCGAGCGUUAAUCGGAAUUACUGGGCGUAAAGGGUGCGCAGGCGGCUUUGUAAGUCAGAUGUGA
This 419-nucleotide ribosomal RNA is filed under the name uncultured ammonia-oxidizing beta proteobacterium. RNAcentral describes it as "bacterial SSU rRNA". It matches the Rfam family "Bacterial small subunit ribosomal RNA", at positions 197 to 597 of the family's 1533-position model. The record is from RNAcentral. Lineage: Bacteria; Pseudomonadati; Pseudomonadota; Betaproteobacteria.